Molecule: unclassified non-coding RNA, 377 nt
Filed under: uncultured bacterium
Lineage: Bacteria
Description: contains 16S-23S intergenic spacer region
Source: RNAcentral
UCCGGUUUGUCACCGGCAGUCUCAUUAGAGUGCUCAACUGAAUGUAGCAACUAAUGACAAGGGUUGCGCUCGUUGCGGGACUUAACCCAACACCUCACGGCACGAGCUGACGACAGCCAUGCAGCAUCUGUGCACGCUCUCUUGCGAGUCCCUUUGGUUUCCCAUCAGUACCACGUGCAUGUCAAGCCGAGGUAAGGUUCUGCGCGUUGCAUCGAAUUAAACCACACGCUCCGCUGCUUGUGCAGGCCCCCGUCAAUUUCUUUGAGUUUUAAUCUUGCGACCGUACUUCCCAGGCGGCACAUUUAACGCGUUGGCUUCGCCACGAGCGGGGUCGAUUCCGCUCACAGCAAAUGUGCACCGUUUACGGCUAGGACUAC